CAGCCGCCGCGGGAAUACGUAGGGUGCAAGCGUUAAUCGGAAUUACUGGGCGUAAAGCGUGCGCAGGCGGUUAUAUAAGACAGAUGUGAAAUCCCCGGGCUCAACCUGGGAACUGCAUUGGUGACUGCAACGCUGGAGUGCGGCAGAGGGGGAUGGAAUUCCGCGUGUAGCAGUGAAAUGCGUAGAUAUGCGGAGGAACACCGAUGGCGAAGGCAAUCCCCUGGGCCUGCACUGACGCUCAUGCACGAAAGCGUGGGGAGCAAACAGGAUUAGAUACCCCGGUAGUCCCUGUCUCUUAUAC
This 301-nucleotide ribosomal RNA is filed under the name uncultured bacterium. RNAcentral's name for it is "partial 16S ribosomal RNA". It matches the Rfam family "Bacterial small subunit ribosomal RNA", at positions 509 to 807 of the family's 1533-position model. The record is from RNAcentral.